Molecule: ribosomal RNA, 459 nt
Filed under: uncultured bacterium
Lineage: Bacteria
Description: partial 16S ribosomal RNA
Rfam family: Bacterial small subunit ribosomal RNA
Source: RNAcentral
CCUACGGUGGGCAGCAGUGAGGAAUAUUUGUCAAUGGCCGGAAGGCUGAACCAGCCAAGCCGCGUGAAUGACGAAGGUGCCAAGCAUUUUAAACUUCUUUUGUCAAGGGACAAAAUCAUGCUCGAGAGCCUUACCGAGGGUACUUGAAGUAAAAGCAUCGGCUAACUCCGUGCCAGCAGCCGCGGUACUACGGGGGAUGCGAUAGUUAUCCGGCUUUAUUGGGUUUAACGGGUACGUAGGCGGGCUGGUAAGUUAGCGGUAAAAGCCCGGGGCUAAACCCCGGCGAGCCGUUGAGACUGGCUGUCUUGAGAUGUCGAGAGGUAUGCGGAAUGCGCAGUGUAGCGGUGAAAUGCUUAGAUAUUGCGCAGAAGUCCGAUUGCGAAGGCAGCAUACCGGCGGCGAUCUGACGCUGAGGCACGAAAGCGUGGGUAUCGAACAGGAUUAGAUACCCUUGUAGUC